RNAcentral lists this long non-coding RNA (2327 nucleotides) under Mus pahari (shrew mouse). RNAcentral's name for it is "lncRNA (MGP_PahariEiJ_G0004115.1)". Lineage: Eukaryota; Metazoa; Chordata; Mammalia; Rodentia; Muridae. The record is from RNAcentral.
UAAAUUAAACUUUUUUAGUUGACUUUCUUGAUUCUCAGUAAAUAUUAACGAUUGACCCCUACAGGGAUUUUGGGAGUAGUUAAAUCAUAGCAACACGACGGAGAUUCUAUCUUUCCAGUAUUCAGGGGUUGAAUUGAAAGUUCUUCAUCUAAAUGACUUGAAGGCUAACCCUGGACUAUGCCCCCCCCCCAUCUCAGCAGGGGCUUUAGUGCCCGCUUCCGGGAUCCAUCCUCUCUAAGCUAUCCAUAGCAACAAGGAACAUGCUGAAGAUGAACUUGAUGGCUUCUUCGGAAUCAGUGCUUAUGUCAGACCCAGAGGCCCAGCUGAAGGGCUGGUGGGUCCCCUUUGUGCAGAGUGAAUGCCAUUUGAUUGCUGAGGCAGCUCAGCUGUCGGAGCAAAUCACUCUCAUUUGUCUGACAGCCUCUCCAGGGCCUGGCACUUCCUCGGUAUCGGCCCCUCUUCUGACCAGGAUGUGAGAGGGUCAGAUUUCCCUCCCUCUCCUUCCUUACACGCCCGAGGACACGCGCUGGCACACUAAUGCCGUGACAGACAGAAAUAAAAUCUGCUUUAAAACACCUUCGAAUGGAUCGCAGCCAAGAUACAAGCCCUACAGAUGUGUCAGACAACUGACUGUUUUGAUGACACCUCCAAACUUGCACCAACGGGCCUUCAUCAGUAAACUACAACAUCAGAAACCCAUGGGAGGCCUCAUGAUGCUUCCGAAAGCUGAGCAUUAGAACUGAUGUUAGAAUUACAAGCUGCUUUUAUUGUGACUAUGACUCUAAGUUAUGUAUCAUCCUUUUUUGAUGAAGGCCAGAAGCUUAUUGAUGGGACUUGGACAUACAGAAGCAGUGGUCUAAGCACAGGGCUGGCCAUCUCCCCCCAUCUUCCCUACCCAUCCCCACCACAAGCCAGAGGGCUCAAAGGAGCAUAAGUCGCCUACUUGGAACAAGAGUGCGCCCCAGGUUAGAGCAACAGCUAAAGCGUCUCUCCUUUGCUUUCUUCCAGAUUGUAUUUCCAUAGCAGGACAAGGGUGGCUUGAACUGUGUCUUAGCCAGGGUUUUACUGCUGUGAACAGACACCAGGACCAAGGCAACUGAGAUAAGGACAACAUUUAAUUGGGGCUGCCUUACAGGUUCAGAGGUUUGGUCCACUAUCAUCAAGGCAGGAAUAUGGCCGCGUCCAGGCAGACGGGUACAGGAGGAGCUGAGAGUUCUACAUCUUCAUCUGAAGGUUGCUGGCAGAAUACUCCCUUCCAGGUAGCUAGGAUGAGGAUCUUAUAGCCCACAUCCAAAGUGGCACAUCUACUCCAACAAGGCCACACCUCCUAAUAGUGCCACUCCCUGGGCCAAGCAUAUACAAACCACCACAAUCUCUAAGAGAGCCCAAGCAAUGGGAUUCUAUGAAGGCAGGGGAGAUCAUAAUGUAUUUGAGUGUGGAUGGGCCAGACAUAGCCAUUUAAUCCAGGACUUCAGGGGCUAUGAGAGCCAUUGGGAGCUUCAGUAGCCAGUCCUGGGCUUCCAAAAAUGAGUCACUUUCUACUGACCUCUGACAGAUAGACCCAGAAAGUCUAUUCUUUUCACCGCUAUGUGGGUAACACGAAACUCAGUGUCAUCUUUCAAACAACUUGAAAAUUUCAUAACUGGCCCCGGGCAGGAGUCAGUGGCAGGAGCAGGAGGAUCUAUGAGAGGUGGUUCUGAAUCCCUGGCUUCGUCUUUUUCCAGCAGAGUGACUCUAGGCCAUGCAAACCUGUGGUUUUUCCAGGUGACUGUGAGACUACCUAUACUGGGCUAUUUUCUUCUUUUCUAUUGAGCUAGAGUGGGAAGCGUGGAGUCUACUCCUAUGUGUCUUUGAAGAGGAGGUAAGGAUAAGGAGGAGCCUGGCAGGUGGUUUUUGACAGCAAAUGGCACCCUUUCCUUGAAUGGCACCAGGCACCCAAUUCAUGGGUUUGCCAGGUUUGAUGGAAGGAUAUGCAAAUCUGACUCAAUUCACAGUCUUACUUAACAGUUCAGUUGUAAUUGCAUCUAAUUGAGGCUUAUUCAUAAAUGUCAUUGAUGUAAAAAAAACUGUUAAUGUAGAGGAGUCCACCUCCAAGAAGGAUGAUUACUUCACAGCGGAAACCCCCCUGAAGAACAUCACUGUUGCUAAGACAACGGAGAGCGAAGCCGGUUGCCCACGGUUACCCAUGUACCAAAUGUCAUUGGUGGAUGAGUGUUAGCUUUGAAUGGGCCUCAGGAGCACAAUGAGGAAGGGCAAUGGGAACUGCCUAAGUGAGUGUGAAGAGACAUGUCCUUGUACCCUCCCCCCACCUCAGGCAUUUCAGAGGC